UACGGAGGGUGCAAACGUUGCUCGGAAUCAUUGGGCGUAAAGCGCACGUAGGCGGUUUGUUAUGUCGGAUGUGAAAGCCCUCGGCUUAACCGAGGAAGUGCAUCCGAAACUGGCAAGCUUGAGUACAGAAGAGGGUCUCGGAAUUCCCGGUGUAGAGGUGAAAUUCGUAGAUAUCGGGAGGAACACCAGUGGCGAAGGCGACUUCCUGGCCUGUUCUUGACGCUGAGGCGCGAAAGCUAGGGGAGCAAACGGG
This 253-nucleotide ribosomal RNA is filed under the name uncultured bacterium. RNAcentral's name for it is "partial 16S ribosomal RNA". It matches the Rfam family "Bacterial small subunit ribosomal RNA", at positions 524 to 776 of the family's 1533-position model. The record is from RNAcentral.